GUGAAAGUCACGUGCCAUUAAAGGUCAUGAGUUGUGAUCCAUUUUGGUCUUCUUUUCCGUCUGAGCAGGUAAUCACGUGGAGCGCCUCUUAGUUCUUCUUGUUGGUAAAUACGCCAAGUUGCUGGCUGCAUGCUACAACUCCAGAUUUCUCACCAGUAUUCUUCUGCUAAUUACUAUCUAAUUAAAGUAAAACCCUCAAAAAAUCCCUAAUAAUAUUUAUUAAUCAUGACAAUGAGCAAUUGCAGCAGCUGGGAUUUCACUAUCUUAGAUACCAGAAUGAUAAUAAUACUCAUGGUGACUUCAAAAGUGUAAAAUUUUCAUACCUAGGGUCUGAGCUUUUUUUGCUUGUUUAGAAAAUGAUUUUUGGACAAUUGAUUGGUAUAAAUCAAAGCAAUCAUCAAUAAAAGCUAAAAUCCUUCUCUUUCUUUGUGUUUUUCACAUGAAAGAAGGAGCAACAAAUCAUGACAUCCAUUCAGAAGCUUAAAGCAAUUGAAAAUCUUAAAAGAAAAGUUCGUUUGAUUCUUCUGAUUUUUUUUUUCCGUUUCAACUUCUUCAUUCCCUAAUUUCUCCAGAUACUAACUGCUCUUUCUGGGUUUGCUUUUCCUUCUGCUGCUUCUCCUUGGUGGUGGCGGUGGUGGUGCUGGUGGUGCUGGUUCCCUCUCUUCUGAUUGUCCCUCUUCCUUCUUUUUCCCUCGAGUAGAAGCCGAUGGUCCCUCGUCAGCCUCCUCUAUCUCUUGCUGUUUUUCUUCUUCUUGGCUGAUUUUAGCUUUCUUUGAUUGAUUGCCAAUAAUUUCUUCCGGUGGUUGUGCUUCUCCAGUUGCUGCUUCUUCCUUUUUCUCUUCGCUUUCUGUCCUUUCAAUGAUUUUUCGUGGUCUACCUCUCUUUCUCGGAGUCUGAGGCUGUUGUUGCUGCUGCGUUUCGUCUCCUGUGGAUGAAGCUUCUGCUAUUGCUACAGAAAGUUCCUUGAUCUUUUGAGGCCUCUUCUUACCCAUUAAUCGUUUUCAGUCACUAUAUAUAACAAGCUUUUACAAUCUAAAACAACAAUACACAGAUUAUCCAACACCCAAGAAACGAACAAUCCAAAAAAAAAACAGAAAUCUUUUUGAUGCUCUAUUCCCUUAUACCUCUCUUUGAAUCAAGAUACUAAGCAAGAAAGAAGCAAUUUUUUUCAUGGCCCUAACAAAAACGACACACUCUCUCUCUCUUUCUCUCGCUCUCUCUCUCUGCGUCUGUGUUCUACAGCAGCAGGACUAAAAUCUUUGACCAACAUCCAUCUGGUCCAUCUCUCUUUCUUAAUAGCAAUUUUUUUUUCCUAAAUAAAAGCUCAAAAGCUGCUAAAAUCA
Molecule: unclassified non-coding RNA, 1343 nt
Filed under: Hevea brasiliensis (rubber tree)
Lineage: Eukaryota; Viridiplantae; Streptophyta; Magnoliopsida; Malpighiales; Euphorbiaceae
Source: RNAcentral